GUUGUCGUCAGCUCGUGUCGUGAGAUGUUGGGUUAAGUCCCGCAACGAGCGCCAACCCCUAUUGUUAGUUGCCAUCAUUCAGUUGGGCACUCUAGCGAGACUGCCGGUAAUAACCGGAGGAAGUGGGAUGACGUCAAAUCAUCAUGCCCCUUAUGACCUGGGCUACACACGUGCUACAAUGGUUGGUACAACGAGUUGCGAGUCGGUGACGGCGAGCUAAUCUCUUAAAGCCAAUCUCAGUUCGGAUUGUAGGCUGCAACUCGCCUACAUGAAGUCGGAAUCGCUAGUAAUCGCGGAUCAGCACGCCGCGGUGAAUACGUUCCCGGGCCUU
RNAcentral lists this ribosomal RNA (331 nucleotides) under uncultured Streptococcus sp. RNAcentral describes it as "bacterial SSU rRNA". It matches the Rfam family "Bacterial small subunit ribosomal RNA", at positions 1048 to 1382 of the family's 1533-position model. Lineage: Bacteria; Bacillati; Bacillota; Bacilli; Lactobacillales; Streptococcaceae. The record is from RNAcentral.